UAGGGAAUAUUAGUAAUGGGCGAAAGCCUGAACUAGCAACGCCGCGUGUGCGAAGAAGGCCUUCGGGUUGUAAAGCACUUUUAGAGAGGAUGAGGAAGGACGGUACUCUCAGAAUAAGUCUCGGCUAACUACGUGCCAGCAGCCGCGGUAACACGUAGGAGGCGAACGUUAUCCGGAUUUACUGGGCGUAAAGCGCGUGUAGGUGGUUUGGUAAGUAGGGCGUGAAAGCUCCCGGCUCAACUGGGAGAGGCCGUUCUAAACUGCCAAGCUAGAGGAUGGUAGAGGGAGGUGGAAUUCCGGGUGUAGCGGUGGAAUGCGCAGAUAUCCGGAGGAACACCAGUGGCGAAGGCGGCCUCCUGGGCCACUCCUGACACUCAGACGCGAAAGCUAGGGUAGCAAACGGGA
This 405-nucleotide ribosomal RNA is filed under the name uncultured Levilinea sp. Its description in RNAcentral is "bacterial SSU rRNA". It matches the Rfam family "Bacterial small subunit ribosomal RNA", at positions 355 to 777 of the family's 1533-position model. The record is from RNAcentral. Lineage: Bacteria; Bacillati; Chloroflexota; Anaerolineae; Anaerolineales; Anaerolineaceae.